This 21-nucleotide non-coding RNA is filed under the name Caenorhabditis elegans. The record is from RNAcentral. Lineage: Eukaryota; Metazoa; Nematoda; Chromadorea; Rhabditida; Rhabditidae.
UUUUUAGUUGAUUCUUUUUUC